RNAcentral lists this ribosomal RNA (1238 nucleotides) under Lathrobium brunnipes. RNAcentral describes it as "16S ribosomal RNA". The stretch from base 585 to 1238 matches the Rfam family "Archaeal large subunit ribosomal RNA", at positions 1423 to 2770 of the family's 2987-position model. Lineage: Eukaryota; Metazoa; Arthropoda; Insecta; Coleoptera; Staphylinidae. The record is from RNAcentral.
AAAUUAUUUUUAUUUUAUAAUAAAAUUAAUUUUGUUUUUUAUUAAUUUAUUUGAAAAAAUAUAUUUAAUUAUAGUUUAUUAGUAUAGUGAUAGAAAUUUAAUUAUUUUAAAUUUUUAAAAUAAAAAUUAAUUUUUUGUACCUUGUGUAUCAGGGUUUAUUAAUUAUAAUUUAUAUAUUUAAUUUUCUCGAUUUUAUAAGAGUUAAUAAGUUAUUAAAUUUUAUUGUGAUAUAAAUAUUUAUAAUAAUUUAUUGGAAAUGAAACGUUAUUCGUUUAUAAAUAUAUCUAGUUUUUAAAGAAAUAAAUUUAAUUUAUUGUAUAUUAAUAAUUAUUUAUUUAUAAAAUAAAUUAUUUUUUAUAUAAUAAAAUUUAUUAGGAUAAGCUAAUAAGUUUAAAUUUAUAAAUAUAAAAAAAGUUAUAAGUUGUAGGAUUAGAAAUUUUUAUCAUUUAGUAUGUUAUAAUUAAUUUUAAUAAAAAUUUUAUUUAUAUUUAGUUUUAAGGAAUUUAUUUAAAUAAUUUAUUUAAUUUUUAAGUAAAUUUAAUAAUGAUAGAAUUAGUAUAUAAAUUUUGUAGAAUUAAUUUAUUUGUUUUAGGUUAGGUAAAGGAAUUUGGCAAAUUAAAUUUUCGCCUGUUUAUUAAAAACAUGUCUUUUUGAGUAUAAUUUAAAGUCUGGUCUGCCCACUGAAAAUUUUUAAAUGGCCGCAGUAUAUUAACUGUGCGAAGGUAGCAUAAUAAUUAGUUUUUUAAUUGAAAGCUAGAAUGAAUGGCUGAACGAAAAAUUUACUGUCUCUAUUUAAUUUAAUUAGAAUUUUAUUUUUAAGUUAAAAAGCUUAAUUACUAUUAAAAGACGAGAAGACCCUAUAGAGUUUAAUAUAAUUUUAUAAUAUUUUAAUAAGAAUCUAUUUUUAUUAAUAAUUUUAUAUUUUAUUGGGGUGAUAUAAAAAUAUAAUAUACUUUUUAUAUAUUUAAACAUAAAUUUAUGAUUAAUUGAUCCAUUAUUAUGAUUAAAAGAAAAAAUUACCUUAGGGAUAACAGCGUUAUUUCUUUAAAGAGUUCAAAUCGAAAAAGAAGUUUGCGACCUCGAUGUUGGAUUAAAAUUAAUUAUUGGCGUAGUAGUUGAUAGUAUUAGGUCUGUUCGACCUUUAAAAUUUUACAUGAUCUGAGUUUAAACCGGUGUGAGCCAGGUUGGUUUCUAUCUUUAAUUUUUUUUUAUAUACUAGUACGAAAGGACCUUAUAUA